GGAUCAUUGUCGAAAUCGAACGGAAGAACGACCCGCGAAUCGUCAUUGCUAGUAGACAGAGCCCGUGAGCACCUAACGCUCACGGGGCUCGCGUCGCGUCGGCGCGGGUGUACUCGAGACCCGCGUCGUACCGGCGGACAAACAACGUCAGCACGGAUCGUGCCAAGGAGCUGCAUGGAGAGAAUCGUCGUCCCACGCCUUUGAUAGUCCUCGACGCGGGGCGGGGGAUGUACGCAAUCUCUACUCAAGUCUAAACGACUCUCGGCAACGGAUAUCUCGGCUCUUGCAUCGAUGAAGAACGUAGCGAAAUGCGAUACUUGGUGUGAAUUGCAGAAUCCCGUGAACCAUCAAUUCUUUGAACGCAAGUUGCGCCCGAAGCCACUCGGCCGAGGGCACGCCUGCCUGGGUGUCGUGAAUCCCCUUGCCCCUGGGCACCCCGCAUGAGCAUUGGCGGGGAUAUACGCUCGGGCGCAGAAUAUGGUCUCCCGUGGGAUCGGCAUGCACGGCAUGUCGAGGUGCGGUUGGCCGAAAAUCGAGCAUGGCGGUGACGGGCACCACGGCGUUCGGUGGAUCGAAUGAGAUUGGCUGCGUCGUGGGCUCGGCAUGCGGCGGGCUCCGGACUUUGAAUAUCCCCGAGUGCGAUCCCAGGUCAGGCGGGGCUACCCGCUGAGUUUAAGCAUAUCAAUAAGCGGAGGAAAAGAAACUAACGAGGAUUCCCUUAGUAGCGGC
This 729-nucleotide ribosomal RNA is filed under the name Miconia mexicana. RNAcentral's name for it is "eukaryotic LSU rRNA". The stretch from base 257 to 412 matches the Rfam family "5.8S ribosomal RNA". The record is from RNAcentral. Lineage: Eukaryota; Viridiplantae; Streptophyta; Magnoliopsida; Myrtales; Melastomataceae.